UUCGCAAUCGCAUUUCCAACAACUAACAACUCAGAAUGCUGGGCAAUAGGACGUUUAAAGUGGCUCCUUACACCUUACAAAGGAAUGGCUGAUGAGAAACAACUCGAUCCGCUCAGCGUUCUAUUGGAAUGCAACGGACGUGAUUGCAAGCUUUUGUUUUGAGUUGCGGUUUUACUGAAAGACUCUACAAUCCGCAAACUUCAAUGAUCUGAAGUAGAAAACCUACAUGCUACAGUGAGAUAUUGUGGAUAAACUUAAGCGACCGCUCCAACAUUGUGUUUUUUUAAAACUGAUGAAGGUUGCGGCAAUAACAGGUCUGUGAUGCCCUUCGAU
RNAcentral lists this ribosomal RNA (333 nucleotides) under Globigerinoides sacculifer. Its description in RNAcentral is "partial 18S ribosomal RNA". The record is from RNAcentral. Lineage: Eukaryota; Foraminifera; Rotaliida; Globigerinidae.